RNAcentral lists this ribosomal RNA (119 nucleotides) under Setaria viridis. RNAcentral also lists the same sequence under 4 other names. Lineage: Eukaryota; Viridiplantae; Streptophyta; Magnoliopsida; Poales; Poaceae. The record is from RNAcentral.
GGAUGCGAUCAUACCAGCACUAAAGCACCGGAUCCCAUUAGAACUCCGAAGUUAAGCGUGCUUGGGCGAGAGUAGUACUAGGAUGGGUGACCUCCUAGGAAGUCCUCGUGUUGCAUUCC